AAGCUGCCCCACCUAAAUAAUGCAAUGAAACCGUAUCCACAGAAAUACACACACACAUAAAUAAUAAAUAUUAGAAUAAUGCAUGGGGGUAAAGACAUUUCGCCGAAGACUAAGAAAUGAUCCAAAACUCGAAGACCCUUAAGAGACUACUAAGUCGUCGAUAGCUUCAACCUCUCUUCUCUUAUCUCUCCGAUAUUUUAGUCUUAUUCUCUACCAUAUAUCUUCACUUCUCUAUUCUAUAUAAAUGCAUAAACCUGAGUCACGCUGAUAAGUAAAUUAAGAAAGGAAUAUUAAUUAAGAUGGCAUCUUCUAUAGUCUCCUGCAAUAUAGCUUUUUCGUGUAUCGA
Arabidopsis thaliana (thale cress) is the source of this 346-nucleotide long non-coding RNA. RefSeq annotates it as other RNA. The transcript has a single exon. The record is from RefSeq. Lineage: Eukaryota; Viridiplantae; Streptophyta; Magnoliopsida; Brassicales; Brassicaceae.